This 743-nucleotide small RNA is filed under the name uncultured fungus. RNAcentral describes it as "eukaryotic LSU rRNA". The stretch from base 216 to 370 matches the Rfam family "5.8S ribosomal RNA". Lineage: Eukaryota; Fungi. The record is from RNAcentral.
GGAAGGAUCAUUACCGAAUUGUCAACAUGAAGUUGUUGCUGGCCCUCAAAUGGGGGCAUGUGCACACUCUGUUUACACAUCCACUCACACCUGUGCACUCUCUGUAGUACUGUGGUCUGGGGGUUCCGUCCUCCUACUGUGGUUCUGCAUAUUUAUACACACACACUGUAAUAAAGUCUCAUGGAAUGUAUACCGCGUUUAACGCAAUGAAAUACAACUUUCAGCAACGGAUCUCUUGGCUCUCGCAUCGAUGAAGAACGCAGCGAAAUGCGAUAAGUAAUGUGAAUUGCAGAAUUCAGUGAAUCAUCGAAUCUUUGAACGCACCUUGCGCCCUUUGGCUAUUCCGAAGGGCAUGCCUGUUUGAGUAUCAUGAACACCUCAACUCUCAUGGCUUGCCAUGAUGAGCUUGGACUUGGGGGUUUUGCUGGCCUACAGUCAGCUCCCCUCAAAUGCAUCAGCUUUCCAGUGUUUGGUGGCACCACAGGUGUGAUAAACAUCUACACGUGUGGUUCCCCACCAUGUAACCUUCAGUGAUGGAGGUUUGCUGGAGCUCACAAAUGUCUUUCCUCAGUGAAGACAGUUCUUUGAUUGUUUGAUCUCAAAUCAGGUAGGACUACCCGCUGAACUUAAGCAUAUCAAUAAGCGGAGGAAAAGAAACUAACAAGGAUUCCCCUAGUAACUGCGAGUGAAGCGGGAAGAGCUCAAAUUUAAAAUCUGACGUGCCUCUGGCCGUCCGAGUUGUA